GAUGCGGGCGCAGCUACCAUGCAGUCGAGCGGUAACAGAUCCAGCUUGCUGGAUGCUGACGAGCGGCGGACGGGUGAGUAAUGCAUAGGAAUCUGCCCGAUAGUGGGGGAUAACCUGGGGAAACCCAGGCUAAUACCGCAUACGUCCUACGGGAGAAAGGGGGCUUCGGCUCCCGCUAUCGGAUGAGCCUAUGUCGGAUUAGCUAGUUGGUGAGGUAAAGGCUCACCAAGGCAACGAUCCGUAGCUGGUCUGAGAGGAUGAUCAGCCACAUCGGGACUGAGACACGGCCCGAACUCCUACGGGAGGCAGCAGUGGGGAAUAUUGGACAAUGGGGGCAACCCUGAUCCAGCCAUGCCGCGUGUGUGAAGAAGGCCCUCGGGUUGUAAAGCACUUUCAGCGAGGAAGAACGCCUAGCGGUUAAUACCCGCUAGGAAAGACAUCACUCGCAGAAGAAGCACCGGCUAACUCCGUGCCAGCAGCCGCGGUAAUACGGAGGGUGCAAGCGUUAAUCGGAAUUACUGGGCGUAAAGCGCGCGUAGGUGGCUUGAUAAGCCGGUUGUGAAAGCCCCGGGCUCAACCUGGGAACGGCAUCCGGAACUGUCAAGCUAGAGUGCAGGAGAGGAAGGUAGAAUUCCCGGUGUAGCGGUGAAAUGCGUAGAGAUCGGGAGGAAUACCAGUGGCGAAGGCGGCCUUCUGGACUGACACUGACACUGAGGUGCGAAAGCGUGGGUAGCAAACAGGAUUAGAUACCCUGGUAGUCA
RNAcentral lists this ribosomal RNA (761 nucleotides) under Vreelandella aquamarina. RNAcentral's name for it is "bacterial SSU rRNA". It matches the Rfam family "Bacterial small subunit ribosomal RNA", at positions 39 to 796 of the family's 1533-position model. The record is from RNAcentral. Lineage: Bacteria; Pseudomonadati; Pseudomonadota; Gammaproteobacteria; Oceanospirillales; Halomonadaceae.